AGCGAACGCUGGCGGCAGGCCUAACACAUGCAAGUCGAACGCCCGGGGCAACCCGGGAGUGGCAGACGGGUGAGUAACACGUGGGAACGUGCCCUUCGGUUCGGAAUAACCCAGGGAAACUUGGGCUAAUACCGGAUACGUCCGCGAGGAGAAAGAUUCAUCGCCGAAGGAUCGGCCCGCGUCGGCUUAGCUAGUUGGUGGGGUAAUGGCCCACCAAGGCGACGAUCGGUAGCUGGUCUGAGAGGAUGAUCAGCCACACUGGGACUGAGACACGGCCCAGACUCCUACGGGGGGCAGCAGUGGGGAAUAUUGGACAAUGGGCGCAAGCCUGAUCCAGCCAUGCCGCGUGGGUGAUGAAGGCCCUAGGGUUGUAAAGCCCUUUCGGCGGGGAAGAUAAUGACGGUACCCGCAGAAGAAGCCCCGGCUAACUUCGUGCCAGCCGCCGCCGUAA
RNAcentral lists this ribosomal RNA (451 nucleotides) under uncultured bacterium. RNAcentral's name for it is "partial 16S ribosomal RNA". It matches the Rfam family "Bacterial small subunit ribosomal RNA", at positions 29 to 523 of the family's 1533-position model. The record is from RNAcentral.